UGAAAUCUCGAAGCUCAACUUCGAAACUGCGUCUGAAACUGCUAGUCUAGAGUGUCGGAGGGGGAAGGGGAAUUUCACGUGUAGGGGUAAAAUCCGUAGAGAUGUGAAGGAACACCGGGGGCGAAGGCGCCUUCCUGGACGACUACUGACGCUGAGGCGCGAAAGCGUGGGGAGCAAACAGGAUUAGAUACCCUGGUAGUCCACGCCGUAAACGAUGAACACUAGUUAUUGGGGGUAUUGACUCCCUCAGUGACGCAGCUAACGCAUUAAG
RNAcentral lists this ribosomal RNA (271 nucleotides) under uncultured Peredibacter sp. RNAcentral's name for it is "partial 16S ribosomal RNA". It matches the Rfam family "Bacterial small subunit ribosomal RNA", at positions 595 to 864 of the family's 1533-position model. The record is from RNAcentral. Lineage: Bacteria; Pseudomonadati; Bdellovibrionota; Bacteriovoracia; Bacteriovoracales; Bacteriovoracaceae.